Molecule: ribosomal RNA, 433 nt
Filed under: uncultured bacterium
Lineage: Bacteria
Description: partial 16S ribosomal RNA
Rfam family: Bacterial small subunit ribosomal RNA
Source: RNAcentral
AACGAACGCUGGCGGCAUGCCUAACACAUGCAAGUCGAACGAGACCUUCGGGUCUUGUGGCGCACGGCUGCGUACCGCGUGGGAACUUGCCCUUAGGUUCGGUAUACCUCCCCGUAAGGGAUGCUCAUACAGGUUAAUGUCUUCGGGCAUAAGAUGUAUUGCCUUUGGAUGGGCCCGCGUUGGAUUCGCUAGUUGGUAGGGUAAAAGCCUACCAACGCGACGAUCCAUGGCUGGUCUGUGAGGAGGAUCAGCCACACUGGGACUGAGACACGGCCCAGACUCCGACGGAGGGGAGCAGUAGGUAGUAUUGGACAAUGGGCGAAAGCCUAAUCCAGCAAUGCCGGGUGAGAGAGGAAGGCCUUAGGAUUGUAAAGCUCUUUUACCCGGGAUGAGAAUGACGGUACCGGGAGAAGAAGCUCCGGCUAACUCCGUG